Cinara cedri is the source of this 539-nucleotide non-coding RNA. NCBI's taxonomy places the organism in Eukaryota, Metazoa, Arthropoda, Insecta, Hemiptera, Aphididae. The record is from the annotation of a GenBank genome assembly.
GGAAAAAUUGAUAAAACCGACUAAACACGGUAUACUCAUAGGUGUACGCGCGUAAUAAGUAUUUACUUACGACGAGUUUCGAAUUCCGAAUUAGUUUGCGGAUAUUGGUUUGGGUUCUGGAGAGGCGAUACCCGUGGCGAAUCGAUAAUAUGACCGUCAUUUCCGUUUUUGAAAUAUAUACGCCGUUGAAUUAUCGCUCGCCUUAACGGUUUUUAAUAAAUUCAUUUCUAUAAAACUAUUAUUAUCGUAAUAUUUUGUGUCGGAGUGAUGAGCACCACGAGUAGAGAGAGACAGACAGAGAGAAUUCCGGCUAACCGAACGAUGAUGUGGCACAGUGGUGACAUGCUUUUUUAUAUUCGAGGGGUUGUCGUAUAUGUGCCGUUUAAACGUAUUUUUUAAAAAAAAAAAAAAAAACUGAAAAUGUACAUUCAAACAAUUAUAUAGCUUUAGUUGAAAUUAUAAACCGCAGUGUUGUUUCCGUCGAAAAAUAAUAGAUCAUUUUGUUCGUUCAUCAUAUCGCAGCGCUCGUAUUGAUUUGU